AGACUUGAAUCUCCUGAAUUACUCUGUAAUGGAGGAAGCCACUUCGGUGGCAGGAAGACAGGUGGUGCAUGGUUGUCGUCAGCUCGUGUCGUGAGAUGUUGGGUUAAGUCCCGCAACGAGCGCAACCCUUAUUGUUAGUUGCUACCAUUUAGUUGAGCACUCUAGCGAGACUGCCCGGGUUAACCGGGAGGAAGGUGGGGAUGACNUCAAAUCAUCAUGCCCCUUAUGUCUAGGGCUACACACGUGCUACAAUGGUCGGUACAAUGAGAUGCAACCUCGCGAGAGUGAGCAAAACUAUAAAACCGAUCUCAGUUCGGAUUGUAGGCUGAAACUCGCCUACAUGAAGCUGGAGUUGCUAGUAAUCGCGAAUCAAAAUGUCGCGGUGAAUACGUUCCCGGGUCUUGUACACACCG
RNAcentral lists this ribosomal RNA (413 nucleotides) under uncultured bacterium. RNAcentral describes it as "bacterial SSU rRNA". It matches the Rfam family "Bacterial small subunit ribosomal RNA", at positions 977 to 1392 of the family's 1533-position model. The record is from RNAcentral.